AAAAGGCAUGUUCAACAUUAGGUGAUAGCAAGUUUCAUUGAGUCUUAUUUUAUACGGCAAGAUAAGUUUUGUUUAAACUCAAGAAUUUAGAUUGUUGAAGAUGAAGAGUGAGGGAUAAGGGUACCCACGGUCCCCAUCGACCAGGAUACUGGCCGGCCUGACAAGUGGGUCCCACCCGACCGUGCGUGCGGGGCAAGGCAUGAAGAUACGUGGAGCACAAGUUCAGAGACCG
This 232-nucleotide long non-coding RNA is filed under the name Setaria italica (foxtail millet). Its description in RNAcentral is "long non-coding RNA (SITA_LNC006803)". The record is from RNAcentral. Lineage: Eukaryota; Viridiplantae; Streptophyta; Magnoliopsida; Poales; Poaceae.